This 447-nucleotide ribosomal RNA is filed under the name uncultured bacterium. Its description in RNAcentral is "partial 16S ribosomal RNA". It matches the Rfam family "Bacterial small subunit ribosomal RNA", at positions 29 to 523 of the family's 1533-position model. The record is from RNAcentral.
AACGAACGCUGGCGGCAGGCUUAACACAUGCAAGUCGAGCGCCCUGCAAGGGGAGCGGCAGACGGGUGAGUAACGCGUGGGAAUCUACCGAGCCCUGCGGAAUAGCUCCGGGAAACUGGAAUUAAUACCGCAUACGCCCUACGGGGGAAAGAUUUAUCGGGGUUUGAUGAGCCCGCGUUGGAUUAGCUAGUUGGUGGGGUAAAGGCCUACCAAGGCGACGAUCCAUAGCUGGUCUGAGAGGAUGAUCAGCCACAUUGGGACUGAGACACGGCCCAAACUCCUACGGGAGGCAGCAGUGGGGAAUAUUGGACAAUGGGCGCAAGCCUGGUCCAGCCAUGCCGCGUGAGUGAUGAAGGCCCUAGGGUUGUAAAGCUCUUUCAACGGUGAAGAUAAUGACGGUAACCGUAGAAGAAGCCCCGGCUAACUUCGUGCCAGCCGCCGCCGUAA